GAAAACUUUGUUUACUAAAUUUGCAAUCAAUGUUCAAAUGUUUUGGGAAAUCUAAAAAUUGUGAAACUCACGGCUUGCUAUUUUUAGCUGUCGAAGCAGUCAGAGAAUGUUUAGAGGAAAGUUGAUUCUUUGAAAAUGAAUUAAUCAUUACCAAAAAACCAAACAGUUGUGAAUAUUUGUGCCCACACUCAAAAGCUCUUCUGAAAUUAAAAGAUUUUAGAAGUUCCCGUGGUGGCACAGUAUCUACUAGGAUGCAGGUUCCAUCCCUGGCCUCAUUAAAUGGGUCUGGGAUCCGGCGUUGCCGUGAGCUGUUGUGUAGGUCACGGACGAGGCUCAGAUCCUGUGUUGCUGUGGCUGUGGUAUAGGCAGGCAGCUGUAGUUCUGAUUUGACCCCUAGCCUGGGAACCUUCAUAUGCUGCAGGUGCGGCCCUAGAAAAGGCAACAAACAAACAAACAAAUAAAUAAAUAAAUAAAUAAAAUAAGUUAGACCCUUCCCUUAUACAUUAUACAUAAGUGGACCCAAAUUAAAUUAAGGACCUAGAACUGAGAUCUAAACCUCUUAGAAGAGAGCUUUUCUGAGGGGAAACGCUUCAUGACAGUGGAUCUGGCGACAAUUUCUUGAUAUGACCGCAAACACGUGGGCAACCAAAGGAAGAAGGAAUCGGGUUUCAGCAACAUUAAAAGUUUUUGUGCAUCGAAGGACACACUCGAUAGUGUCAGUCUAUGGAGUGGGAGAAAUAUUUGCAAAUCGUGUAUCUAAUAAGGGGUUAAUAGCCGGGACAUAGAAAGAACUGCUACAGCUCAACGACAACAAAAAAACAAACAAGCAGAUUUUAAAAAUGGGCCCAGGACUUGAAUAGACAUUUCUUCAAGGAAGAUAUUCAUGUACAUAUAUAAGAUAUAUGUAUGAAAAGAUGCUUGAGGAGUUCCCAUGGUGGUGCAGUGGCAACAAUCCCGACCAGUAUCCAUGAGGACUUAAGUUCAAUCCCUGGCCUUGCUCAGUGGGUUAAGGAUCUGGCAUGGCCAUGGGGAGCUGUGGUGUAGAUCACCGAUGCGGCUUGGAACCUGAGUUGCUGUGGCUGUGGUGUAGGCCAGUGGCUAGAGCUCUGAUUCAGCCCGUAGCUUGGGAACUUCCAUUUGCCUCACAUUCGGCCAUAAAAAGCAAAAAUAAAAGAAAAA
RNAcentral lists this long non-coding RNA (1179 nucleotides) under Sus scrofa (pig). Its description in RNAcentral is "lncRNA (ENSSSCG00015026501.1)". The record is from RNAcentral. Lineage: Eukaryota; Metazoa; Chordata; Mammalia; Artiodactyla; Suidae.